GGAACCCCUGCUCCUUGCCCUUGCUGAGGAUUUUGAAAUGCGCUUGGGUUGACCAGCCAACCCAGUUUGCCCUGGACUGUUCUGGUUUUAGCAUCAAAAGUCCCAUGUCCCAGGAAACCCCUUAGUCUAAACCAGGACAGGUGGUGGCUUCAGGGCAUGGCUGGCUUCCUCAGUGGGACAGGCCAGAGGUAAAUAAGGGAACCAGCAGGAAGAGGGCCUCAAAUUCAGCUGGGGUACCGGAUAAAUGCACCCUAGAGAGCCUGAUUCAGUGGAUAGAUUUGGUAAGGACUAGAAGUCGACAUUUAAGAAGCCCUCAGGUGAGUCUUGUGCAGAUGAUUCACUUACGACAUCCCGAGAGACCCUGUGAGAGAGGCUGUGGGUGAAACAGAACCAGAACCUGCCUCAGGGGGCUUGUACUGCUGUGAGGGGACCAUCUGGCCCCAGCCCACAGUGGAAUGAAACGAGAGCUAUAACACGAGCACCAGCCAACCUCUCCCCCUCCUCCCACUCUCCAAAGUCAUUCAGUGCGUACAAAGCUUGGCUUUGUUCAUUAUGAGGGGUGACUUGGCAUGUUCUGGCAGGAUGCCUCGAGGAGAGUGUGUUAGUUGCAAGAAGUGAGUGUCCACUCCAGCUUCCACCAGGCCUUCCUGUCUCAGAACCACCCUGCUUUCUACUGUACAGAGAGAGCCAUCUUGGAGGCCCACUGUAGCCCUGACUGUCCAGCAGGACAGUCAGGGGGCGAGGCAGUGGCCAGGUGGGCAGUUGUCGGUUCUGUUGCUUCUAAGUGAAACCUUCCCUAAAAUGAAUCCGUGAAUGAACUCGAGUCCUCCAGGGCACUUGGUUAUAAGGAUAGGUCUAAGAGCUCCUGGAGGUCAAGUGGUCAACCCGAGAGGGCUUACUUGCUGGGCUUGUCCCUGUUGACCAAGGACAGAGAACCAGAGGUGUCCCUCAGGAGGAGAGCAAAGGAAUGAUGGCUACCUACACCUCCUGCACCAGACUCACCUGGAGGCUAUGAAGUGCAAUUGUUGUCCUGCUCCCGAGCUACUGUAUGACUGUGCCACCAGCAGCUCAGCCUGGCUGCAGGACAUGAGGUUAGCGGGCUCCUGGGGUGACAUGCCACCACUGAGGUGCCAGGAGGGGCAGCCUGGAAGGAUGGGGCUGAGCUGUACAACUGGCCCGGGAGAAUCCAUCAAGCUCAUCUGGUCAGCCUGAGGGCCUGGGGGAGUGUGGCCUUGCAGGGACGGCGCCACAAAUGUCUCUGGUAGCCGGGAGCACGGGCUCUGGAGCCAGCUCGCCUGGUUUGGAAUCCCAUCUCCGUCAUUUAUCAACUGAGUGACCUUAGGCUUGUCGUUAACCUCUCUUAACCUCAGUUUUCCCAAAUGUAAAAUGAGGUAUUAAUGUUCCCCAGGUGGCUGGGAGCAUCGAAUGACAUGAACACCCAAUCAGCUCAGUACG
Molecule: long non-coding RNA, 1455 nt
Filed under: Marmota monax (woodchuck)
Lineage: Eukaryota; Metazoa; Chordata; Mammalia; Rodentia; Sciuridae
Source: RNAcentral